Pseudopipra pipra is the source of this 697-nucleotide long non-coding RNA. RefSeq lists it as uncharacterized. The record is from RefSeq and is a predicted model, not a curated record. NCBI's taxonomy places the organism in Eukaryota, Metazoa, Chordata, Aves, Passeriformes, Pipridae. The transcript is spliced from 3 exons.
UGCAGCAGAAAAUACUACAUGGGUGAGGCCAGAGCUGCAGCUCUACAAAAAUGUCACAGUGUCCUAAGGAAUGCCCAAAUCCUUCCACUCUUGUGAUGUCACCAGCACCUCAGGUUGCUUCAUAUAUGCAACCACCUACAGAAACAUCAGCACACAUGAACCUAAGGCAUUUCUGCACAAGGAUAUUUUCCACUCUCUAGUUCAUUAAAUUCAGGUGGGAAGCUGGAUCAUGAGUGAUCAAGUUUGUCACGACUCAUUCAUAAUCUGAACGAUUAAGGUGUGCAAUCACCACCAGGACAACGAAAGCAACAUUUUAGGCCAAUUCUCUCUACAGUUUAAGUUGCUUCUUUAUGGCAACAGUACUUCAGUGUCCAUGAUCAAGUCAAGUUUGACCUUUUGAGAAAAGAAAGCAAGCAGAAUUUUAAAUGCCCUCUAUUUGCAUUCAGAAACAUACAGAAGAGUUUUAACAUUGUGAUCAAAAGUAUUUUCUAUACAAACAACUGUGUGACAGAAUAAUGCAAGCUUUUUUUCACACUUUUUUCAGUAAGGUAAAAAAAUAAGUUACUUCAAUUUAGAAGAGCAGAAGAUAACCAGUUACUGCCCUGUCCCAAAAUGUCCAAAAGGUUUAUGAAGUUCCUCAUCAUUCUCACAUCACUUUUCUGUGUUUAUGAAGUUCCAGAAUUAUGAUCAAAGACAA